Molecule: ribosomal RNA, 901 nt
Filed under: Sporobolomyces johnsonii
Lineage: Eukaryota; Fungi; Basidiomycota; Microbotryomycetes; Sporidiobolales; Sporidiobolaceae
Description: LSU rRNA
Rfam family: Eukaryotic large subunit ribosomal RNA
Source: RNAcentral
AGCAUAUCAAUAAGCGGAGGAAAAGAAACUAACAAGGAUUCCCCUAGUAGCGGCGAGCGAAGCGGGAAAAGCUCAAAUUUGUAAUCUGGCGCUUUCGGCGUCCGAGUUGUAAUCUCGAGAAGUGUUUUCCGCGUCAGACCGCACACAAGUCUCCUGGAACGGAGCGUCAUAGUGGUGAGAACCCAGUACACGGUGCGGAUGCCUGAUGCUUUGUGAUACACUUUCGAAGAGUCGAGUUGUUUGGGAAUGCAGCUCAAAUUGGGUGGUAAAUUCCAUCUAAAGCUAAAUAUUGGCGAGAGACCGAUAGCGAACAAGUACCGUGAGGGAAAGAUGAAAAGCACUUUGGAAAGAGAGUUAACAGUACGUGAAAUUGUUGGAAGGGAAACGCUUGAAGUCAGACUUGCUAUUCGGAGCUUGCUUCGAUUCGCAGGCCCGCAUCAGUUUUUCGGGGCGGAAAAUCGUAGAGAGAAGGUAGCAGUUUCGGCUGUGUUAUAGCUUUCUACUGGAUUCGUCCUGGGGGACUGAGGAACGCAGCGUGCUUUUUGCAUGGGCUUCGGCCUAUCCACGCUUAGGAUGCGGGUGGAAUGGCUUUAAACGACCCGUCUUGAAACACGGACCAAGGAGUCUAACAUGCUUGCGAGUAUUUGGGUGUCAAACCCGGAUGCGCAAUGAAAGUGAAUGGAGGUGGGAAGCGCAAGCUGCACCAUCGACCGAUCUGGAUUUUCUAAGAUGGAUUUGAGUAAGAGCAAGUAUGUUGGGACCCGAAAGAUGGUGAACUAUGCCUGAAUAGGGUGAAGCCAGAGGAAACUCUGGUGGAGGCUCGUAGCGGUUCUGACGUGCAAAUCGAUCGUCAAAUUUGGGUAUAGGGGCGAAAGACUAAUCGAACCAUCUAGUAGCUGGU